Molecule: non-coding RNA, 80 nt
Organism: Acanthosepion pharaonis
Lineage: Eukaryota; Metazoa; Mollusca; Cephalopoda; Sepiida; Sepiidae
Source: the annotation of a GenBank genome assembly
AGCGCCCGUACGAACACCGAAGUUAAGCAAGGUUGAACCUGGACAGUACCUAGAUGCGUGACCACGUAGGAAUACCAGGU